GAAAGCCGUAUGCUUUGGAAGAAGCUUGUACAGUUUGGGAAGGGGUUUUGAUUGAUCGAUCAAAAAGAAGAAUCUACUUCAAC
Non-coding RNA from Gossypium arboreum, 83 nucleotides. The record is from Rfam. NCBI's taxonomy places the organism in Eukaryota, Viridiplantae, Streptophyta, Magnoliopsida, Malvales, Malvaceae.